CUGCUGAGGACAGAUCAUGUGAAUGUGGCAGUCCAGGAAUCCAGGUGUAAGUAUGCAACCUUCUCCUGAAGAUACUUCAGUGGCGGCGCUUACAACCAGAUUCUCAUCCACAUUGUCCAUGACUCCGGGAUUACCAGCUUUGCCUACGCCUGCUACUUUUCCGUUUCGGAAUCCUACAUCUCCCUUUACGAUUCCUAAAACAGGAUCCAUAACCACUACGUUGGUAAUCACAUGGUCAAGAGCUCCAUCGGCCUGUGUAGCUCCCGGACUCAUUCC
This 276-nucleotide small RNA is filed under the name Candidatus Methanomassiliicoccus intestinalis. RNAcentral's name for it is "5' ureB small RNA". Lineage: Archaea; Methanobacteriati; Thermoplasmatota; Thermoplasmata; Methanomassiliicoccales; Methanomassiliicoccaceae. The record is from RNAcentral.